CAGGCAUGCACCACCGUACGCAGCUAAUUUUGUAUUUUUAGUAGAGUUGGGGUUUCACCAUGUUGGCCAGGCUGGUCUCAAACUCUUGACCUCAAGUGAUCCACUCGUCUCGGCCUCCCAAAGUGCUGGAUUACAGGCGUGAGCCACCGCGCCCGGCCGACGCUCCCUCUUAUGUAGCCACGAGGAAGGUGGAAGACACAGCUAGAUUUCUGGAUUCCUCUCUUCAGGAGCCUAGAUCUGCAUUUCAGGGGCAUGGAGAAAGAAGAUAUCUACCACCAGGACUGGAGACAAGAGAUUCGACUGUGUUAGCCAGGAUGGUCUCGAUCUCCUGACUUCGUGAUCUGCCCGCCUCAGCCUCCCAAAGUGCUGGGAUUACAGGCUUGAGCCACUGUGCCUGGCUUCAGGCUGGGAUUUUUAUAGCUUAUUAUGGCAAGGGAGGAGACGGAGAGUAAAAGAAGAAGGAAGAGCAUACACAGUCACCCCUUGUGUGACAAAUAUGCAAGAAAUAAAGAUAAAUGUGUACAAUUCUUACAAUUUUACUUUUCUGAAUUUUGCUAUUGCACUGAAUGAUUUGUGAUAAGACAGAUGGGGAUGAAAAAUAUACUUAUUAAAUAAACAGCUAUUAAAAGCCCCUAAAACUCUUUAAAAUGGGAUCUUUUUGUUUGAUUACAGAAGAAUUACACCUUUAUUUUAGACAUUCUGGAAAAAAUGCAACAAAGAGAAUAAAAAUCAUUCAUAAUCCCACUGCUCAGAAAUUACCACUGCUGGCCAGGCGUGGUGGCUAACGCCUGAAUCCCAGCAA
This 802-nucleotide long non-coding RNA is filed under the name Homo sapiens (human). Its description in RNAcentral is "HSALNT0194671". Lineage: Eukaryota; Metazoa; Chordata; Mammalia; Primates; Hominidae. The record is from RNAcentral.